RNAcentral lists this long non-coding RNA (5090 nucleotides) under Gossypium barbadense (sea-island cotton). RNAcentral describes it as "long non-coding RNA (GBAR_LNC009801)". Lineage: Eukaryota; Viridiplantae; Streptophyta; Magnoliopsida; Malvales; Malvaceae. The record is from RNAcentral.
UUGCUCAUUCUCAUCAUCCCACAUUUGCCAUUCUCUACUUAAGGCAAUUGUUCUCUCUCCCUAUUUGUAAAGUUUCACUUGUAUUUUUGGAGUGAAAUAUAUUUGGUAGUGCCCGAGGACGUAGGCAAGAUUUGCCGAACCUCGUUAAAAUUCUGGUGUUCUUUACUAUUUAUUGUUCAUAUUUUGUGAAUUUGAUUGUAGUGAUUUAUUGUGCUAUUAAAUUACGAUAGAGGGAUAUUCUGGCUAGGAAAGACUUGGUACUUAAGUGAUCCUCGUGAUCCACCUCUCUUUCCUGGGAAUUGAACUUAGUGUGAUUUUUUAGUACAAUAAUUUUACUCUUUCACACGCUUCCGCGCAACAAUUGGUAUCAGAGCCAGAUUCGUACUUGGAGAAUACGACCGUUUACGGUACUAUUCACGUAUACGGCACUAUUCACGUAUACAGUACUAUUCACGUAUAUGGCACUAUUCACGUAUACGGUACUGUUCACGUAUACAGUAGUUGGGAUUGAGGAGAAAAAUGGCAGCAGCAUCGUCAUCAGCAAGGACUACUGUAACAAAUGCAAAAUUUGAAGUAGAAAAAUUUGACGGUACCAAUAAUUUUGGUAUGUGGCAGUGUGAGAUCCUGAAUGUCUUAUGUCAGCAAGAGCUGGAUAUAGCCCUUGAAGAAAAACCUGACAAGAUGGAUGACAAGGAGUGGGCCAAGAUCAAUAGACAGGCGUGUGGUACAAUCCGCCUAUGUUUGGCCAAAGAGCAGAAGUACUCCGUCAUGAGGGAGACAUCAGCGAAGAAGCUGUGGGAUACAUUGGAAGAAAAGUUUCUAACGAAAAGUCUUGAAAAUAGGCUUUAUAUGAAAAAGAAACUUUAUCGAUUCACGUAUGCACCCGGUAUGUCGAUGAAUGACCAUGUGAACUCAUUCAAUAAAAUUUUAGCAGACUUGCUAAAUUUGGAUGAGAAAUUUGAAGAUGAAGACAAGGCAUUAUUAUUGUUGAAUUCCCUUCCUGAUGAAUAUGAUCAUCUUACCACCACAUUGCUUCAUGGGAAGGACACGAUCACAUUUGAUGCAGUCUGUAGUGCGUUGUAUAGAUCUGAGACUCGAAAGAAAGAUAAAAGAGAUCACAGAGAUACAACCGCAGAAGUCUUAACAGUAAGAGGUCGUUCACACAGCAGCAAACCUGGUAGAAGGGGUAAGUCCAAAGGGAGACCCGCCAAAGAUGAAUGUGCCUUUUGUCGUGAGAAAGGGCAUUGGAAAAAGAAUUGUCCUAAGUUACAAAAGGGCAAGUCUAUUUCUAAUGCAUGUGUAGCGAAGCAUGAUGAGGAGUCAGACUUUAGCUUGGUUGGCAUGGCAAUGGCAUGUCAAACGGAUGAGUGGAUAUUGGAUUCGGGAUGUACUUACCAUAUGUGUCCUAAUAAGGACUGGUUUUCUAGUCUUGAAGAACUAGAAGGUGGAGUUGUUUUUAUGGGCAAUGAUAGUGCCUGUAAGACAAUGGGUGUAGGUACAAUCAAAUUGAAGAACCAUGACGGCUCAAUCCAAGUUCUGACAGAUGUUCGCUAUGUACCCAGCUUGAAGAAAAAUCUCAUCUCAUUAGGGGCCCUAGAAUCUAAAGGGUUCACAAUCACUUUGAGAGAUGGAUUACUAAAGGUAGUAGCUGGGGUAUUGACGGUGAUGAAAGGCACUAGAAGAAAUAACUUGUACUAUUUAAAUGGAAGUACAGUUAUUGGAUCAACAUCAACAGCUUCUGCGAAAGAUGCAGAUUCAGAGGCUACCAGGUUAUGGCAUAGGCGAUUGGGACAUGCUGGUGAAAAAGCUUUGCAGACUUUGGCGAAGCAAGGCUUGUUGAAAGGUGCAAAUUCUUGCAAAUUGGAAUUCUGUGAACAUUGUGUUCUGGGCAAGCAGACGAGGGUAAAAUUUGGUUCAGCAAUUCACAAUACGAAAGGAAUUCUGGACUAUGUUCACAGUGAUGUGUGGGGACCUACCAAAGUGGCUUCUUUGGGAGGUAUGCACUAUUUUGUCACUUUUCUUGAUGAUUAUUCAAGAAAAGUAUGGGUGUAUCUAAUGAAAAGAAAAAAUGAAGUUUUGGAUGCAUUUCUGAAGUGGAAGAAGAUGGUGGAGACUCAGACAGGUCGAAAGGUCAAACGACUUCGAUCAGAUAAUGGUACUGAGUACAAAAAUGAUCCAUUUCUACAAGUAUGUCAAGAUGAGGGCAUUGUGCGACACUUCACUGUUCGAGAUACACCACAGCAGAAUGGGGUGGCAGAACGCAUGAAUCGGACUAUACUGGAGAAAGUUCGAUGUAUGUUGUCCAAUGCUGGAUUGGGCAAGGAAUUUUGGGCUGAGGCAGUUACAUAUGCGUGCCAUCUAAUUAACCGAUUGCCAUCAGCUGCAAUAAAUGGAAAAACUCCUAUGGAGAUGUGGACUGGUAAACCUGCUACUGAUUAUGAUUCUUUACAUGUUUUUGGUUCCACUGCAUAUUAUCAUGUAAAAGAAUCUAAGUUAGACCCAAGAGCAAAGAAAGCAUUAUUCAUGGGUAUAACUGGUGGUGUAAAAGGAUACCGUCUCUGGUGUCCUGAUACAAGGAAGAUUGUUUUCAGUAGAGAUGUAACUUUUGAUGAAUCAACCAUGAUGAAGAACGAGGAUUCACAAAAGGAUGACAAAACCAGUAGUACUUUGCAGCAGGUGGAGUUUGAAAAGGUUAAUGAUGAUCCAGCUAAUAUUGAAAGAACAAAUGAUGAAGAAGUUUCGACCCAAGAACUUCUACAGCAACAAGAUUCAAUUGCAUAUAGGAGGCCAAGAAGAGAGAUUCGUAAGCCUGCUCGCUUUGACGAUAUGGUGGCCUAUGCACUUCCAAUUGCAGAUGAUGAUGUUCCUUCCACUUACACAGAAGCAAUAAGUAACUCUGAUGGUGUAAAGUGGAAGCAAGCUAUGAAUGAAGAAAUGCAGUCUCUUUAUAAAAAUAGGACUUGGGAGUUGGUGAGACUGCCCAAGGGAAAGAAGGCAAUUGGAUGCAAAUGGGUAUAUGCAAAGAAGGAAGAAUUUCCUGGUAAAAAUGAAAUUCGAUUCAAGGCUAGAUUGGUAGCAAAGGGUUACGCUCAGAAAGAAGGAAUAGACUACAAUGAAGUGUUUUCUCCAGUUGUGAAGCAUUCGUCUAUUCGGAUUUUGCUAGCCUUGGUUGCGCAAUAUGAUCUUGAACUAGUUCAGCUUGAUGUGAAGACCGCGUUUUUACACGGUGAUUUGGAAGAGGAAAUCUAUAUGACUCAGCCAGAUGGAUUCAAGGUUGCUGGAAAAGAAAAUUGGAUUUGCAAACUGACAAAGUCGCUUUAUGGAUUGAAGCAAUCUCCGAGGCAGUGGUACAAGCGAUUUGAUCAGUUCAUGAAAGGGCAAAGGUACACAAGAAGUAAAUUUGAUCAUUGCGUGUAUUUUCAGAAGCUACAAGAAGGAACUUUCAUAUACUUGCUCUUAUAUGUUGAUGAUAUGCUAAUAGCAUCUAAGAGCAAAGUUGAGAUUGAAAGAUUGAAGACUCAACUCAAUCUCGAGUUUGAGAUGAAAGAUCUAGGAUAAGCUAAAAAGAUUCUCGGCAUGGAAAUAUGUAGAGAUAGAGCUCAUGGCAGAGUUAGCUUGUCUCAGAAGCAGUAUUUGAAGAAAGUACUACAGCAGUUUGGUAUGAACGAGCAGACCAAACCUGUAAGUACCCCGUUGGCUUCUCAUUUCAAGCUUUCUGCACAACUAUCUCCUUCGACGAAUACGGAACAAGAAUACAUGUUGCAAGUUCCGUAUUCUAAUGCAGUGGGUAGCUUGAUGUAUGCAAUGGUGUGUACAAGACCCGACAUUUCACAGGCAGUUAGUAUAGUGAGCAGGUAUAUGCAUAAUCCUGGAAAAGGACAUUGGCAAGCUGUGAAAUGGAUUCUACGGUAUAUUCAGAAGACCGUGGAUGUUGGAUUACUGUUCAAGCAGGAUAAUACACUUGGUAAAGGUGUUAUUGGGUACGUUGAUUCUGACUAUGCCGGUGAUUUGGACAAGCGAAGAUCAACCACCGGUUAUGUGUUUACACUUGCUGGAGGACCAAUAAGUUGGAAGUCUACACUACAGUCUACAGUUGCAUUGUCAACCACAGAAGCCGAGUACAUGGCUGUCACAGAGGCUGUAAAGGAGGCUGUUUGGUUACAAGGUAUGGCUAAAACCUUGGGGUUGGUUCAGGAGCAUAUUAACGUGUAUUGUGAUAGUCAAAGUGCUAUUCAUUUAGCAAAGAAUCAAGUCUAUCAUGCACGUACAAAACAUAUCGACGUACGAUUCCAUUUUGUGCGGGAAAUUAUUGAAGAGGGGAAAAUUUGUCUUCAGAAGAUCAAGACUGCAGAUAAUCCCGCAGAUAUGAUGACCAAGGUGGUAACAGCAACCAAGUUCGAACAUUGUUUGAACUUGAUUAAUAUCCUGCAAGUUUAACAGUUGAAGAAGGCACUAUCAAGUAUUGUUGUCAAAAGCAGAAAGAAUUGUGUGAAGAUAAGAUUAUCCUAAUCAAAUCUUCAAGGUGGAGAUUAUUAGAAUAUACCCAUACCCCAUACCUUGCCCAUACCUUUCCCAUACCUACCCAUACUUUGGAAAGGUCAAAGUUAUGGGCACCAAAUAUUUUAUUUAGUGUUGGGCAUGGGAAAAUAGCAAUUUUUGGUCCCUAAGUGAAUAGUGACUUUGCAAGGUGGCCCUUGAAUCUCAACUAUAAAUAGGCCAACCAUUGCUCAUUCUCAUCAUCCCACAUUUGCCAUUCUCUACUUAAGGCAAUUGUUCUCUCUCCCUAUUUGUAAAGUUUCACUUGUAUUUUUGGAGUGAAAUAUAUUUGGUAGUGCCCGAGGACGUAGGCAAGAUUUGCCGAACCUCGUUAAAAUUCUGGUGUUCUUUACUAUUUAUUGUUCAUAUUUUGUGAAUUUGAUUGUAGUGAUUUAUUGUGCUAUUAAAUUACGAUAGAGGGAUAUUCUGGCUAGGAAAGACUUGGUACUUAAGUGAUCCUCGUGAUCCACCUCUCUUUCCUGGGAAUUGAACUUAGUGUGAUUUUUUAGUACAAUAAUUUUACUCUUUCACACGCUUCCGCGCAACAAUUUGAG